Molecule: ribosomal RNA, 391 nt
Filed under: uncultured bacterium
Lineage: Bacteria
Description: bacterial SSU rRNA
Rfam family: Bacterial small subunit ribosomal RNA
Source: RNAcentral
UAUUGCACAAUGGGGGGAACCCUGAUGCAGCAAUGCCGCGUGGGUGAAGAAGCACUCCGGUGCGUAAAGCCCUGUCAGCAGGGAAGAAAAUGACAGUACCUGGACAAGAAGCCCCGGCUAACUACGUGCCAGCAGCCGCGGUAAUACGUAUGGGGCAAGCGUUAUCCGGAUUUACUGGGUGUAAAGGGAGCGUAGGCGGCCUGGCAAGCCUGAUGUGAAAUACCGGGGCCCAACCCCGGGGCUGCAUUGGGAACUGCCAGGCUGGAGUGCCGGAGAGGCAGGCGGAAUUCCUAGUGUAGCGGUGAAAUGCGUAGAUAUUAGGAGGAACACCAGUGGCGAAGGCGGCCUGCUGGACGGUGACUGACGCUGAGGCUCGAAAGCGUGGGGAGCA